This is a long non-coding RNA of Pan troglodytes (chimpanzee), 742 nucleotides long. RefSeq lists it as uncharacterized. The transcript is spliced from 2 exons. Lineage: Eukaryota; Metazoa; Chordata; Mammalia; Primates; Hominidae. The record is from RefSeq and is a predicted model, not a curated record.
GCGCCUGCCCUGUGAUUUCUGCCCCCGCUAAGGACUUGUGCAAGCAAGCAUCCUGCUGCCAAAGGGAGACGGAAGGAUUUGUCACUUUUUCCAAGGUCGCGAGUGGAGUUACAGGAGAAAAUGUUGCCAAAUGGGUAGACUAAACAAUGAAUGGCUGCCGGGUUUAGUCAUACCUCUCUGUGUGUGCCAUCAAUUGCUGACGGGAGCUAGGACAUUAUUCCAGCUACAAAAUGGGCGCGUGAUCCUGCAAACUGAUGCAUGGGCCUUGCAAGCUACGCCUAUAGAAUUGGCUGUAGGUACUAAGCACAGAAGACCAUCGGAUCCCUGUGGAGCCCGACCCCACUGCUUCACCCGUGUGGUCCAAGCUGCUCCCUGGAUGUCAAGGGUUGGCCAUUCCUGUGGUGUCAGUAGUGAGUGCUUGGAUGAAUAUGAGAUCUAUAGGCUGGUGAUGCAGAUGGUGAUGGGAAGAGACAGUAGAGAUGCCAACACACUCCCUGGACGGUGUUUCUGGAGGGAAAAGGUCCGGGUCUGGCGAGCCAGUGGAAUGUGCUGUGGCAGAAAAUCCACAGGCUCUGGAAUCUGACUGUCAGAGCCUGGGCCCUGGAUACCGUGUCUACCACCUUUGUGAUCUGUGGCAUGUUAUUUAGUAUCUUGGAGCCUCAGUUUACCUUCUGUAUUAUUAGGGUAAUAAUGUUUUCUUUUGGGGCUUUUGGUGAGGAUUAAAUGAUAUAUGGAAAGCUUA